AUCUGUUAUGUGUUAUGUUAUAUGCUCUUUUAGCAUUUUUCUAGCAGGAUUUCUGACUUUGGUCAAGCUAAG
This 72-nucleotide small nuclear RNA is filed under the name Mus pahari (shrew mouse). RNAcentral's name for it is "snRNA (MGP_PahariEiJ_G0033369.1)". The record is from RNAcentral. Lineage: Eukaryota; Metazoa; Chordata; Mammalia; Rodentia; Muridae.